This 432-nucleotide ribosomal RNA is filed under the name uncultured bacterium. Its description in RNAcentral is "partial 16S ribosomal RNA". It matches the Rfam family "Bacterial small subunit ribosomal RNA", at positions 29 to 507 of the family's 1533-position model. The record is from RNAcentral.
ACGAACGCUGGCGGCAUGCCUAACACAUGCAAGUCGAACGAGACCUUCGGGUCUAGUGGCGCACGGGUGCGUAACGCGUGGGAACCUGCCCUUAGGUUCGGAAUAACUCCCCGAAAGGGGUGCUAAUACCGGAUAAUGUCUUCGGACCAAAGCUUUAUCGCCUUUGGAUGGGCCCGCGUUGGAUUAGCUAGUUGGUAGGGUAAAAGCCUACCAAGGCGACGAUCCAUAGCUGGUCUGAGAGGAUGAUCAGCCACACUGGGACUGAGACACGGCCCAGACUCCUACGGGAGGCAGCAGUGGGGAAUAUUGGACAAUGGGCGAAAGCCUGAUCCAGCAAUGCCGCGUGAGUGAUGAAGGCCUUAGGGUUGUAAAGCUCUUUUACCCGGGAUGAUAAUGACAGUACCGGGAGAAUAAGCACCGGCUAACUCCGUG